UGCUGGAGGUAUCAGAAGUGCGAAUGCUGACAUAAGUAACGAUAAAGCGGGUGAAAAGCCCGCUCGCCGGAAGACCAAGGGUUCCUGUCCAACGUUAAUCGGGGCAGGGUGAGUCGACCCCUAAGGCGAGGCCGAAAGGCGUAGUCGAUGGGAAACGGGUUAAUAUUCCCGUACUUGGUGUUACUGCGAAGGGGGGACGGAGAAGGCUAUGUUGGCCGGGCGACGGUUGUCCCGGUUUAAGCGUGUAGGUGUGUGUUCCAGGUAAAUCCGGUUCACUUUAACACUGAGGCGUGAUGACGAGGCACUACGGUGCUGAAGCAACAAAUGCCCUGCUUCCAGGAAAAGCCUCUAAGCAUCAGGUAACAUCAAAUCGUACCCCAAACCGACACAGGUGGUCAGGUAGAGAAUACCAAGGCGCUUGAGAGAACUCGGGUGAAGGAACUAGGCAAAAUGGUGCCGUAACUUCGGGAGAAGGCACGCUGACACGUAGGUGAAGUGAUUUACUCACGGAGCUGAAGUCAGUCGAAGAUACCAGCUGGCUGCAACUGUUUAUUAAAAACACAGCACUGUGCAAACACGAAAGUGGACGUAUACGGUGUGACGCCUGCCCGGUGCCGGAAGGUUAAUUGAUGGGGUCAGCGCAAGCGAAGCUCCUGAUCGAAGCCCCGGUAAACGGCGGCCGUAACUAUAACGGUCCUAAGGUAGCGAAAUUCCUUGUCGGGUAAGUUCCGACCUGCACGAAUGGCGUAAUGAUGGCCAGGCUGUCUCCACCCGAGACUCAGUGAAAUUGAACUCGCUGUGAAGAUGCAGUGUACCCGCGGCAAGACGGAAAGACCCCGUGAACCUUUACUAUAGCUUGACACUGAACAUUGAGCCUUGAUGUGUAGGAUAGGUGGGAGGCUUUGAAGCGUGGACGCCAGUCUGCGUGGAGCCGACCUUGAAAUACCACCCUUUAAUGUUUGAUGUUCUAACGUGGACCCGUAAUCCGGGUUGCGGACAGUGUCUGGUGGGUAGUUUGACUGGGGCGGUCUCCUCCUAAAGAGUAACGGAGGAGCACGAAGGUUGGCUAAUCCUGGUCGGACAUCAGGAGGUUAGUGCAAUGGCAUAAGCCAGCUUGACUGCGAGCGUGACGGCGCGAGCAGGUGCGAAAGCAGGUCAUAGUGAUCCGGUGGUUCUGAAUGGAAGGGCCAUCGCUCAACGGAUAAAAGGUACUCCGGGGAUAACAGGCUGAUACCGCCCAAGAGUUCAUAUCGACGGCGGUGUUUGGCACCUCGAUGUCGGCUCAUCACAUCCUGGGGCUGAAGUAGGUCCCAAGGGUAUGGCUGUUCGCCAUUUAAAGUGGUACGCGAGCUGGGUUUAGAACGUCGUGAGACAGUUCGGUCCCUAUCUGCCGUGGGCGCUGGAGAACUGAGGGGGGCUGCUCCUAGUACGAGAGGACCGGAGUGGACGCAUCACUGGUGUUCGGGUUGUCAUGCCAAUGGCACUGCCCGGUAGCUAAAUGCGGAAGAGAUAAGUGCUGAAAGCAUCUAAGCACGAAACUUGCCCCGAGAUGAGUUCUCCCUGAGACUUAAAGUCUCCUGAAGGAACGUUGAAGACGACGACGUUGAUAGGCCGGGUGUGUAAGCGCAGCGAUGCGUUGAGCUAACCGGUACUAAUGAACCGUGAGGCUUAACCUU
RNAcentral lists this ribosomal RNA (1676 nucleotides) under Salmonella enterica subsp. enterica serovar Typhimurium. RNAcentral describes it as "partial 23S ribosomal RNA". It matches the Rfam family "Bacterial large subunit ribosomal RNA", at positions 1271 to 2925 of the family's 2925-position model. Lineage: Bacteria; Pseudomonadati; Pseudomonadota; Gammaproteobacteria; Enterobacterales; Enterobacteriaceae. The record is from RNAcentral.